GGAAAUGUAAAUGAUCUGAAAUUUUGUAGUCUGUCUCUCCAGAACAGGAUUAUUCCCUGUAGCAUCUUGAGGAUUGUACUUGGUUUUGAAUUACACUUAAUUGUAUCUUUCUUAACCACUGUAAAUUAUGUUGUUCCGUUGUUGGUGUUUGCACCAUUAGGCACUGUUGUUUACAGCUUCCUAUCUUGGGGUGGGAACUAGCAUGAGUUAGACUUACACUUAUUUGGCUCUAUGUUUUUAUACCUAAAAAUUCCACCUAGAGGGAAACAUUUGACAAGGCUGAAGAGAUGUGGUGAAAAACCAGUGUGGUUCAGCUUUCUGGCCUAAUGUUGUAGGCAUUCUGAAUUACCUUUCUGGAAUUGGCUCUCUCUCAUUGGUGCUUUCCAGAACUGAAGGUCCCAAAUUUCCUCCCAUGGAUUACUCUUCAGGUAGUCAACUAAUAUGCACAGAGCGCCUUUGUCCCAGGGGGGCAGGUGUAAUGUUUGUCAAGACCAUGCUAUGUACAGAGCCGCAGUAGUAAAAUAAUGUAUCAUAAGCCUACCGGGUUAAUGUAGUGUAGGGUUUUUGUCAGAAACAGUGUUCCAUUAAGUUAGUACACUAACAGAAACAGUGUUUCUAAUCUUUAUAAAAUGUGUUAAAAAAAAAACAAAAAAAAAACCAUCAACCCCAAAAACUACAACAAAAAGGAACAGUGGGAACAAAUGGCUCCAUUGUUUAUCUGUGGAGGUAAGACAUCAAUUUGAUAUUUAUACAUUAACAACUGUUUCUUUCCUUCCUUUCUUUUGCUGCCUGAAGGCCUGAGCUACAAUGUCUCAGUGGGAUUUGGGAGUAGGUUCUGCUUGACAUGUAUAUUUUUAGUAACUUAUUUUAGCAGUACAUUAAAUAUUAUCUCUGCAUGUAAAUAAAUGGAAAUGUUAUCUAAACAUUUUUCUAUCUGUCAGAUUAAGAUGUUUAGUCAAGUGAAUUAAGAUGACCACAAGAGAAACAGAGGCUGCUCUACAAGGCAAUUUGUUUGAAGUGAGGGAAAUAGUAAGAAUAGAUCAUCUUAGAAUUUUACACUGGGCUGUGUGUUCUGUUGAGCACCAAGUUUGGUUUGUUGAUUUGCUGUCUCACUUCUAAAUCAAGAGUGUAGCUUUGUUUCCAAGUGCACCAUAGUCCCAAGGUGGUCACAGAGAGCCUUGUAACCAC
This 1188-nucleotide long non-coding RNA is filed under the name Gallus gallus (chicken). The record is from RNAcentral. Lineage: Eukaryota; Metazoa; Chordata; Aves; Galliformes; Phasianidae.